UUGAGAUAAAAAUGAACAAAGUAGUCCACUAUUUAUACUAGUGGCUUUGCUAAAUUAAGAGCCAACUAGUAUAGAAAAUCAAGGAAUAAAAUAUUAAAAAUCCCUACAUAAUCUCCCACUAAGUCAACAAAAAUUUCAACUAAUUAAUCUUGGAAAAAUUCUGCUUUGGCCCUCCUUCUUUGCUCCUUUCUUCAAUCUAGCCCAAUUGUUUCAUUUUUCUUCUAUUUAGCCCCAAAUUGCACCCCUGCACAAAAUUCAACAAAAACAUGGAAAAAUUAGUGGUGCACUCUCAUAAAUUAACCAAUUUAAUUACAUAAAAUAUGUAACUUUAGCAUUUAAUCAUGCACCGCCUUUACCCACAUCAAAGACCUCAUUUUAGAGUGGUACAACGUUGAAACUAGAUUCAUCGAUGUUAUGUUGAAAACUUUAUUGUUCCGAACUAACCACAUGGUCCACCAUGACGCCGAAAUCGCAAUCAACCAUAAAAUUUUUUGAAACCCUUUCAAAAAAAAUUCCUCUCGUAAAGAUUUUUUUAUCUGAAAUCCCAUUAGGUGCAUAAACAUUAAUCAAGGUUCCAUCCAAAUCUUCUUCAAUCCAUUUUACUUCCCCAACAACAAAAUGUUAGAACAAAGAUAACAACCUGCUUGAAACCGAACCUUGUCCCAUAUUGUUAUUACCUCUCCAAAAUUUCCUACAACAGCCGAAAAUCAAAAUUCAAAAUAUCGUCACUCUCUACCUUCCUAAUUAUGUCCUCAAUACCCAUUACUAGCUUUGAUUCUUCAAUGAAACACAAAUCCACUCUACCUUUACAAAUUACUCUUUUCACGCAAUUUUUUUGAUAUCCGAACACAUGCCCCUAAUGUCCCACAACAAAACCCCUAUUCUUCCCCCCCCAGAAAACCUCCCAUACACAGUAUAAAAUUACAACUACAAUCGAUACUAACCUGCACAAUGGCCUACAGACCCCUGCUCUUUCCUUUGUUGCUCUGAUCUACCUCUCUUUUAGUUUUAUAAUGUCAUCCACAACUUCUCACCUGUCACCUCAAACACAGAACCGAAGUUUUUUUCCACUUCCCAUGCGUUCCUAGCCUCCCUAAGAAUCACUCUCUUUCUAUUGUUGCUGUUAGAGUCGAAGAGAGAGGCGUUAACAACAACCUCCUCUUUGGAUGUGGUUUUUUUUCCUUUUUUCUUUCUCAACGUCCGAUCUCACUUCUUCUCUGCUACAGAAAUGAUUCUAUCUUGAAUUUCAUACAUCGAUCUAAUCUUUCGACCAGGGUUUUUUUGCUUCUUAUGUUUAAGAAAAAUUAGAGAUUCCCCCUCUGAAACCUUUUUUUCUCUGUUUGUUUCUCCCCUACCAAAACUCUAAAUCUUUUAAUAAGAAUACUACAAUCUGGUUCCCC
RNAcentral lists this long non-coding RNA (1400 nucleotides) under Gossypium barbadense (sea-island cotton). RNAcentral's name for it is "long non-coding RNA (GBAR_LNC016355)". Lineage: Eukaryota; Viridiplantae; Streptophyta; Magnoliopsida; Malvales; Malvaceae. The record is from RNAcentral.